Mytilus trossulus (common blue mussel) is the source of this 298-nucleotide long non-coding RNA. RefSeq lists it as uncharacterized. The record is from RefSeq and is a predicted model, not a curated record. The transcript is spliced from 3 exons. NCBI's taxonomy places the organism in Eukaryota, Metazoa, Mollusca, Bivalvia, Mytilida, Mytilidae.
AAUAUAAGGAAGUUAGCUGGUCAAGGUUCUACGCAGUAUAAUAAAUUCCGAUACCCUAUUUCUACAUGUUCUAGUGCUGUUUGAAAAAGCAAAAUUAUGGUCAAACCACUCAAUCAUGUCAAUAGUCUUUUCCAAGAUGGCAUUAUAGAUGUACAUACAUGUAUUUCUGCAGAUGGGAUCAAUAACAAGACGGGUUUUACAACAAGAAAAGAUGACCAAUAUUUCAAAAAGGUACAGAAAUUGUCAGGCAAGGAAUUAUUUCAUUGUAUUGGUCAUGUUGGUAGAACCAAUCCAUGGU